GGGCGCACGGUGGAUGCCUUGACACUAGGAGUCGAUGAAGGACGGGACUAACGCCGAUAUGCUUCGGGGAGCUGUAAGUAAGCUUUGAUCCGAAGAUUUCCGAAUGGGGAAACCCACUAUACGUAAUGGUAUGGUAUCCUUAUCUGAAUACAUAGGGUAAGGAAGACAGACCCAGGGAACUGAAACAUCUAAGUACCUGGAGGAAGAGAAAGCAAAUGCGAUUUCCUGAGUAGCGGCGAGCGAAACGGAACAUAGCCCAAACCAAGAGGCUUGCCUCUUGGGGUUGUAGGACAUUCUAUACGGAGUUACAAAGGAACGAGGUAGACGAAGCGACCUGGAAAGGUCCGUCGUAGAGGGUAACAACCCCGUAGUCGAAACUUCGUUCUCUCUUGAAUGUAUCCUGAGUACGGCGGAACACGUGAAAUUCCGUCGGAAUCUGGGAGGACCAUCUCCCAAGGCUAAAUACUCCCUAGUGAUCGAUAGUGAACCAGUACCGUGAGGGAAAGGUGAAAAGCACCCCGGAAGGGGAGUGAAAGAGAUCCUGAAACCGUGUGCCUACAAAUAGUCAGAGCCCGUUAACGGGUGAUGGCGUGCCUUUUGUAGAAUGAACCGGCGAGUUACGAUCCCGUGCGAGGUUAAGCUGAAGAGGCGGAGCCGCAGCGAAAGCGAGUCUGAAUAGGGCGUUUAGUACGUGGUCGUAGACCCGAAACCAGGUGAUCUACCCAUGUCCAGGGUGAAGUUCAGGUAACACUGAAUGGAGGCCCGAACCCACGCACGUUGAAAAGUGCGGGGAUGAGGUGUGGGUAGCGGAGAAAUUCCAAUCGAACCUGGAGAUAGCUGGUUCUCCCCGAAAUAGCUUUAGGGCUAGCCUUAAGUGUAAGAGUCUUGGAGGUAGAGCACUGAUUGGACUAGGGGUCCUCAUCGGAUUACCGAAUUCAGUCAAACUCCGAAUGCCAAUGACUUAUCCUUAGGAGUCAGACUGCGAGUGAUAAGAUCCGUAGUCAAAAGGGAAACAGCCCAGACCGCCAGCUAAGGUCCCAAAGUGUGUAUUAAGUGGAAAAGGAUGUGGAGUUGCUUAGACAACUAGGAUGUUGGCUUAGAAGCAGCCACCAUUUAAAGAGUGCGUAAUAGCUCACUAGUCGAGUGACUCUGCGCCGAAAAUGUACCGGGGCUAAAUACACCACCGAAGCUGCGGAUUGAUACCAAUGGUAUCAGUGGUAGGGGAGCGUUCUAAGGACAGUGAAGUCAGACCGGAAGGACUGGUGGAGUGCUUAGAAGUGAGAAUGCCGGUAUGAGUAGCGAAAGACGGGUGAGAAUCCCGUCCACCGAAUGCCUAAGGUUUCCUGAGGAAGGCUCGUCCGCUCAGGGUUAGUCAGGACCUAAGCCGAGGCCGACAGGCGUAGGCGAUGGACAACAGGUUGAUAUUCCUGUACCACCUCUUUAUCGUUUGAGCAAUGGAGGGACGCAGAAGGAUAGAAGAAGCGUGCGAUUGGUUGUGCACGUCCAAGCAGUUAGGCUGAUAAGUAGGCAAAUCCGCUUAUCGUGAAGGCUGAGCUGUGAUGGGGAAGCUCCUUAUGGAGCGAAGUCUUUGAUUCCCCGCUGCCAAGAAAAGCUUCUAGCGAGAUAAAAGGUGCCUGUACCGCAAACCGACACAGGUAGGCGAGGAGAGAAUCCUAAGGUGUGCGAGAGAACUCUGGUUAAGGAACUCGGCAAAAUGACCCCGUAACUUCGGGAGAAGGGGUGCUUUCUUAACGGAAAGCCGCAGUGAAUAGGCCCAAGCGACUGUUUAGCAAAAACACAGCUCUCUGCGAAGCCGUAAGGCGAAGUAUAGGGGGUGACACCUGCCCGGUGCUGGAAGGUUAAGGAGAGGGGUUAGCGUAAGCGAAGCUCUGAACUGAAGCCCCAGUAAACGGCGGCCGUAACUAUAACGGUCCUAAGGUAGCGAAAUUCCUUGUCGGGUAAGUUCCGACCCGCACGAAAGGUGUAACGAUUUGGGCACUGUCUCAACCAGAGACUCGGUGAAAUUAUAGUACCUGUGAAGAUGCAGGUUACCCGCGACAGGACGGAAAGACCCCGUGGAGCUUUACUGUAGCCUGAUAUUGAAUUUUGGUACAGUUUGUACAGGAUAGGCGGGAGCCUUUGAAACCGGAGCGCUAGCUUCGGUGGAGGCGCUGGUGGGAUACCGCCCUGACUGUAUUGAAAUUCUAACCUACGGGUCUUAUCGACCCGGGAGACAGUGUCAGGUGGGCAGUUUGACUGGGGCGGUCGCCUCCUAAAGUGUAACGGAGGCGCCCAAAGGUUCCCUCAGAAUGGUUGGAAAUCAUUCGUAGAGUGCAAAGGCAUAAGGGAGCUUGACUGCGAGACCUACAAGUCGAGCAGGGACGAAAGUCGGGCUUAGUGAUCCGGUGGUUCCGCAUGGAAGGGCCAUCGCUCAACGGAUAAAAGCUACCCCGGGGAUAACAGGCUUAUCUCCCCCAAGAGUCCACAUCGACGGGGAGGUUUGGCACCUCGAUGUCGGCUCAUCGCAUCCUGGGGCUGUAGUCGGUCCCAAGGGUUGGGCUGUUCGCCCAUUAAAGCGGUACGCGAGCUGGGUUCAGAACGUCGUGAGACAGUUCGGUCCCUAUCCGUCGUGGGCGUAGGAAAUUUGAGAGGAGCUGUCCUUAGUACGAGAGGACCGGGAUGGACGCACCGCUGGUGUACCAGUUGUUCUGCCAAGGGCAUAGCUGGGUAGCUAUGUGCGGAAGGGAUAAGUGCUGAAAGCAUCUAAGCAUGAAGCCCCCCUCAAGAUGAGAUUUCCCAUAGCGUAAGCUAGUAAGAUCCCUGAAAGAUGAUCAGGUUGAUAGGUUCGAGGUGGAAGCAUGGUGACAUGUGGAGCUGACGAAUACUAAUAGAUCGAGGACUUAACCAUAUA
RNAcentral lists this ribosomal RNA (2911 nucleotides) under [Bacillus thuringiensis] serovar konkukian str. 97-27. Its description in RNAcentral is "bacterial LSU rRNA". It matches the Rfam family "Bacterial large subunit ribosomal RNA". Lineage: Bacteria; Bacillati; Bacillota; Bacilli; Caryophanales; Bacillaceae. The record is from RNAcentral.